Molecule: ribosomal RNA, 253 nt
Filed under: uncultured bacterium
Lineage: Bacteria
Description: partial 16S ribosomal RNA
Rfam family: Bacterial small subunit ribosomal RNA
Source: RNAcentral
UACAGAGGUGGCAAGCGUUGUUCGGAAUUACUGGGCGUAAAGGGCGCGUAGGCGGCCUUCUAAGUCAGACGUGAAAUCCCCCGGCUUAACCUGGGAACUGCGUCUGAUACUGGAUGGCUUGAGUUUGGGAGAGGGAUGCGGAAUUCCAGGUGUAGCGGUGAAAUGCGUAGAUAUCUGGAGGAACACCGGUGGCGAAGGCGGCAUCCUGGACCAAUACUGACACUGAGGAGCGAAAGCCAGGGGAGCAAACGGG